UGUGGGAGCGGGCUUGCUCGCGAAAGCGUCCGUACAUUCGACAUUUGUUUUGAAGGUGACGACGCCAUCGCGGGCAAGCCCGCUCCCACA
Molecule: unclassified non-coding RNA, 90 nt
Filed under: Pseudomonas migulae
Lineage: Bacteria; Pseudomonadati; Pseudomonadota; Gammaproteobacteria; Pseudomonadales; Pseudomonadaceae
Source: RNAcentral